Molecule: ribosomal RNA, 327 nt
Filed under: Triticum aestivum (bread wheat)
Lineage: Eukaryota; Viridiplantae; Streptophyta; Magnoliopsida; Poales; Poaceae
Description: partial small subunit ribosomal RNA
Source: RNAcentral
AUGGCCAUGCUAGUGUCUCCUAUCGCCAAAGACGACAUGGUCUCCUAUGUGUUGUGUUACAAUCCCCCGUUGUCAUUGAUCACAACUCAAACAGACCCGGUAUCCCUUGGUGACUUGUAUUCUCGUCUACUUUCUUUUCAAAUCAUGUUGGAGCAGCAAUACCUCUCCUUCCAAGGCAACUCUUCAGGCAACUUUACUCCACCUGGGCGUGGUGGCGGCAAAACAUGUCAUAAAUCAUCAAACCCAAAUAUGGAGUACUUAAGAGAUGCACUUUCACAAUGUUGCAAGCUCCAAAUUGAUCUAAGCAUUACAUAUUUAUUAAGGUGA